AUGUGUGGUGAUCACUGGCUUCAAAAAUGGACACGUGAGGAUUCUUGGAAGCCUAGGGCGAAGGGGCCCCCUUCCAUCCAGAUUCACUGCUCGGACUUCUCCGCACAGCCCGGUUUGCCUCGCCCUGCGUCUCAGGUGCCGCCUGGCCUGGAGGCGUCCGAGCUGCGCGCUGCCGAGGAGGCCCAACGCCAGGCAGAGCUGAGCCUCGAGGGCCCUCCGCCCCGGGGCCGGUUGCGCGGAGCCGGCGCGG
Molecule: long non-coding RNA, 250 nt
Filed under: Sus scrofa (pig)
Lineage: Eukaryota; Metazoa; Chordata; Mammalia; Artiodactyla; Suidae
Description: lncRNA (ENSSSCG00060013194.1)
Source: RNAcentral